GCAUCAGUAGCUCAGCAAAGAGCAUUGGUCUUGUAAGCCAAAGGCCGGAGGUUUGACUCCUCCCUGCUGCU
Molecule: transfer RNA, 71 nt
Filed under: Cynoglossus quadrilineatus (fourlined tonguesole)
Lineage: Eukaryota; Metazoa; Chordata; Actinopteri; Pleuronectiformes; Cynoglossidae
Description: tRNA-Thr
Rfam family: tRNA
About the family: Transfer RNA (tRNA) molecules are approximately 80 nucleotides in length. Their secondary structure includes four short double-helical elements and three loops (D, anti-codon, and T loops).
Source: RNAcentral